This 446-nucleotide ribosomal RNA is filed under the name uncultured bacterium. Its description in RNAcentral is "bacterial SSU rRNA". It matches the Rfam family "Bacterial small subunit ribosomal RNA", at positions 396 to 842 of the family's 1533-position model. The record is from RNAcentral.
GUCGCGUGAGGGAUGAAGGUUCUAUGGAUCGUAAACCUCUUUUAUAAGGGAAUAAAGUGCGGGACGUGUCCCGUUUUGUAUGUACCUUAUGAAUAAGGAUCGGCUAACUCCGUGCCAGCAGCCGCGGUAAUACGGAGGAUCCGAGCGUUAUCCGGAUUUAUUGGGUUUAAAGGGUGCGUAGGCGGCCUUUUAAGUCAGCGGUGAAAGUCUGUGGCUCAACCAUAGAAUUGCCGUUGAAACUGGGAGGCUUGAGUAUGUUUGAGGCAGGCGGAAUGCGUGGUGUAGCGGUGAAAUGCUUAGAUAUCACGCAGAACCCCGAUUGCGAAGGCAGCCUGCCAAGCCAUGACUGACGCUGAUGCACGAAAGCGUGGGGAUCAAACAGGAUUAGAUACCCUGGUAGUCCACGCAGUAAACGAUGAUCACUAGCUGUUUGCGAUACAGUGUAA